UACAGAGGGUGCAAGCGUUAAUCGGAAUUACUGGGCGUAAAGCGCACGUAGGCGGUUUUUUAAGUCAGAUGUGAAAGCCCCGGGCUCAACCUGGGAAUUGCAUUUGAAACUGGGGAACUAGAGUGUGUGAGAGGGGGGUAGAAUUCCAAGUGUAGCGGUGAAAUGCGUAGAGAUUUGGAGGAAUACCAGUGGCGAAGGCGGCCCCCUGGCAUAACACUGACGCUCAGGUGCGAAAGCGUGGGGAGCAAACAGG
RNAcentral lists this ribosomal RNA (253 nucleotides) under uncultured bacterium. Its description in RNAcentral is "partial 16S ribosomal RNA". It matches the Rfam family "Bacterial small subunit ribosomal RNA", at positions 524 to 776 of the family's 1533-position model. The record is from RNAcentral.